UCCGGUUUGUCACCGGCGGUCUCCUUAGAGUUCCCACCAUUACGUGCUGGCAACUAAGGACAAGGGUUGCGCUCGUUGCGGGACUUAACCCAACAUCUCACGACACGAGCUGACGACAGCCAUGCAGCACCUGUCUCUCGGCUCCCGAAGGCACCCCCGCAUCUCUGCAGGGUUCCGAGGAUGUCAAGGCCAGGUAAGGUUCUUCGCGUUGCAUCGAAUUAAACCACAUGCUCCACCGCUUGUGCGGGUCCCCGUCAAUUCCUUUGAGUCUCAACCUUGCGGCCGUACUCCCCAGGCGGAGAACUUAGCGCGUUAGCUGCGACACCGAGGGGCUAAUUCCCCCCGACAUCUAGUUCUCAUCGUUUACGGCGUGGACUAC
This 379-nucleotide unclassified non-coding RNA is filed under the name uncultured Gammaproteobacteria bacterium. RNAcentral describes it as "contains 16S-23S intergenic spacer region". The record is from RNAcentral. Lineage: Bacteria; Pseudomonadati; Pseudomonadota; Gammaproteobacteria.